UACGUAGGGGGCAAGCGUUGUCCGGAAUCAUUGGGCGUAAAGAGCGUGUAGGCGGCCUCGUAAGUCUGCUGUGAAAGUCCAGGGCUCAACCCUGGGAUGUCAGUGGAUACUGUGAGGCUCGAGUCCGGAAGAGGAGUGUGGAAUUCCUGGUGUAGCGGUGAAAUGCGCAGAUAUCAGGAGGAACACCGAUGGCGAAGGCAGGUCUCUGGGCAUUAACUGACGCUGAGGAGCGAAAGCAUGGGGAGCGAACAGG
This 253-nucleotide ribosomal RNA is filed under the name uncultured bacterium. RNAcentral describes it as "partial 16S ribosomal RNA". It matches the Rfam family "Bacterial small subunit ribosomal RNA", at positions 524 to 776 of the family's 1533-position model. The record is from RNAcentral.